GACCGCGUGAGCGAAGAAGGCCUUCGGGUCGUAAAGCUCUGUUGUUAGGGAAGAACAAGUAUCGGAGUAACUGCCGGUACCUUGACGGUACCUAACCAGAAAGCCACGGCUAACUACGUGCCAGCAGCCGCGGUAAUACGUAGGUGGCAAGCGUUGUCCGGAAUUAUUGGGCGUAAAGCGCGCGCAGGCGGUCCUUUAAGCCUGAUGUGAAAGCCCACGGCUCAACCGUGGAGGGUCAUUGGAAACUGGGGGACUUGAGUGCAGAAGAGGAGAGUGGAAUUCCACGUGUAGCGGUGAAAUGCGUAGAGAUGUGGAGGAACACCAGUGGCGAAGGCGACUCUCUGGUCUGUAACUGACGCUGAGGCGCGAAAGCGUGGGGAGCAAACAGGAUUAGAUACCCUGGUAGUCCACGCCGUAAACGAUGAGUGCUAAGUGUUAGAGGGUUUCCGCCCUUUAGUGCUGCAGCUAACGCAUUAAGCACUCCGCCUGGGGAGUACGGCCGCAAGGCUG
Molecule: ribosomal RNA, 510 nt
Filed under: uncultured Bacillota bacterium
Lineage: Bacteria; Bacillati; Bacillota
Description: bacterial SSU rRNA
Rfam family: Bacterial small subunit ribosomal RNA
Source: RNAcentral